Molecule: long non-coding RNA, 4125 nt
Organism: Nothobranchius furzeri (turquoise killifish)
Lineage: Eukaryota; Metazoa; Chordata; Actinopteri; Cyprinodontiformes; Nothobranchiidae
Source: Ensembl
AUGCCACAUUUAAUGUAUUUUACUUUGUCUUGGUACCAACAGAUAUAUAACUGUACUUUUAUGCUGAUUACUUUGUUACAGGUGGAAAAAGAGGGUCGUAGUAAGGUGUGGGCCUACUUCACUAAAGAUCCAUCCGGUGAUGUCGUCUGCAGCCUCUGCUCAUCUUCAGCAGGCCAGGGAUUCCUGCAUGGAAGAGGUUGUUCCAGCAAUGUGUCUGAAACUACAAAGAGACAACGGAUGGCGUGGAUUGCUACUAUCAGAAGACCUAGCUUAACGUUCGAGGACACCCCAGGUCACAUGUUGCUCUGCUAUAGACAUUUCCAUAAAGGUACGCUAAUGUAUUGCAGUGAAGUGAUUUAUCAUAGCAAAUUUGUAGAUACGGGUCACAAACAAGGCCUCUGAUGGCCCAUUUGUUUCGCUGGAAUGCUUUGUUUACAUUAGCUUUGCGGGCUGCUAUUUGUGUCGUAUGCAGGCAAACCGGCCUACAGCAUGCUGGAAUGCCAUCCGGACUGGGCUCCGUCCCUCCACAUGGGUCAUACCGAGGUGAAAGCGAUGACCACCGCCAGAUUUGACCGGUUUAGACGGAGAGCCAGAUCAAAACAACAGCCUGUUGUUCCACAUCCGCCGGAGCCAGUGACCCACCCAUCGGUAAACUGGACUUGGGCUUGUUGCAGAGAUCUGACGUUACUAAACACUUCAUGGGUGUAUGCACUCACACUUAGCACCAUAUAGUUAAAAAUAUAGGCGUGAGUAAAGUUGGGCAACACGCUAACGUCUUUGCUCCAGUGUUUGUGUUCGUAGGGGUCUAACCCGUUUAAUCCUUUGAUCUUCUCCUCGUACCUUUCUCUAGAUUUUGCGCCGAGCCUGUCCUUGUACGGACCGGGAGCAGUCUCCUUCGUUUUAUACAUCCUUGUGAAUUAAAAGAGGUUAAACUCCUUUGCUAGUUUACACCGCAGAAGGACUGUUUGGAGAUGUAAACACUGAGCCCAACAGAGAAAAACUGCCUCCCGGGUUUUUAAAUCUCCCUCCAUCCUCAAUUCCUACAAUGCACCGCGCGUAAGUCACGUGGUCUGUCAAUCUCAAUUAUAAACAUUUUGUCAAUGCUCAGCUCUCACUGGGCCUCGGGAUUGGACCUUUCAGAGUGUCAGUAACCAGAUUUAUUGGACACACUGGAAACAACGUGAGGUACGCGCUCUGGGCUCAGUUGAUGCUGCUUAUGUUUCUAUUAUAUUUGCUGUAUUGACACUGUGGAUGUCGUAUGCUUUGGGCCUGUUAGAGGAGCCUUCAUCUGGAGUCAAAGUUAUCACGAAGAGUAAAAUUAAAUGAAAUAAAGUUGGGGCUCAGGUUAAUUAGUAUAUGGACCUAUAAAUCACGUUUAAUGCACUGACACCAUGAACGUUGUAUGUAUACUGUGUGAACAUAGCCCUCCCCGAGGAGAAGUGGGCGUGAUAGAUCAGUAGGAGGAUACUGCAGGCCCUGGGAAAGCAGAGUGAGGUAGAUGUUUGUUUGUUUGUUGCUGUAGUUACUGUUUUUUUUUUAUUGAUUUAAACGCUGAUGUUGUUUAAAUGUUUAAUGAAUUGUUUUCAUCUGUAUUUUGAGGAUUUGUUUUCUUUUUAUUGUACGGUUAGUUUUAACCAUGCACUGGCGCACUCCAUCACUUGUCACUGAAAAACUAGGAAAGAAGUUGGAUUAAAGAAAAGGAAAUGAUUGCACCUGUCGAGGCUCUCUCCAGCUCUCCUGGUUUCAUGUGACCUGGGACUGCUACAAGCUGCUGUUUUCGCUCAGCACCACACCUUCACGGUCAUUGGUGCCAUCGGACAGUUUCUACGAAUGCUUGAGAAAUGACUGUCCAGGUUUAAAUGACCCGGCUUUCAGAGCCAGAGGACUCCAAAGUGCCAUUCAUCCAUUCACACGCUGGUGGUGAUGAGCUAUGAUGUAGCCAUGGCAACCCUGGGGUACACUGACAGAGGUUUAGUGUAUUGUAGUUUUGGAGCUAGACCAGUUGAUCGUGUUGACAUCUAUCCUGUCUGAUGCACAGACUAAAUAAAGCUUGACGAAUUCUAAACUAGGUUUUAAGCACUCUACUGCAGACAUGUAGGCUCAGUCUGGGGUGACGGACCACCAACGGAUGGGAACGGAUUUCCGUUUGUUUUCAGCGUUAUUAUUGCAGCUGAUGCUUUAGUUCCAAUCCCCUUCUGGACAUCGGUGUAAAAUAUUCGGUGACUAAAACUGACACACAUAUAGUUUAAACAGGAUUUAACAUGAAGUCGAAGCCAACAGUAGUUUCACCAGUGGGGUAGCUGCUAUGGAUCUUUGUUCUCAGAUUGCACAUCUUCUCUAACCGGCUAAAUUAUCUGUAAUAGUCUCCAAACGGGCUGCUGUUACUUGUGUCUGACAGCAGCUGUUGGAAGAAACAGACAUUUGAAACCAGUUGUAAUUAAACCAUUUUGUUGUUUAAGUUGGUGCUCCGUUUAUUUUGACAGGACUGACAUCCUCUUGUCAUUUUCGCUCUGGGGCUAACUAGCUAGCAAAGCUAGGUAGCCGCAAAGUAACGGUAACAUAUGCAUUUAAAUCUAUUUACACAACGUUGAAACGCUGCUUUACCACAAACUAAAGAACAUUACUCACCAGUCUGGCUGCUGCUCCUCUAACCAGGUUUAUUCGCCUAUUGUCAACGCAUUAAAUGUUCCAGGGGCGAAAUCUUUGAAUCCAUAGCCGACAACGGCAACACAAGAAGCAACUGCUUAGCUAGGAUCGGAACCUAGUUGUCCUGGUGCUGCACACACCGGAACCUUUCAUCGAAUGCACAGAGUACUUUUUCCGUUUUCGCCAUCUUAGAUGGGUCGAGCUUCCGGCAGACACGAACCAUAACAGGGGCAGUAACCACCUUGUUUUUGAAAGAUGCUUGUCAAGUACCACUUGCUCUAAACUUAAUUAGUUCUUUCUCUAAAGCCUCAGGCCUCCAUCUUAACCUAAACAAGUGUGAGUUAUUAUCCAUUAAAGAAUCCACAGCUGCCGCUGUUUGUGAUAUUCAAGUUAAAAAUCAGGUAACACAUCUUGGCAUUAUUAUAUCUAAAGACCCCACCUUAAGAUGCCCAACUAAUUUUUCCUCCACUAUCCAGAAAACUCAAAGAAAAUUAAACUCUUGGCUUCAAAGAGAUUUGUCAUUGAAAGGCAGAAUCCUUCUCUCUAAAGCUGAAGGUCUCUCCAGGCUUUCCUGCUCAAUCUCUGUAUGUGGACAAUAACACUCUAAAGAAUAUUGAUAGAAUGCUAUUGGACUUUGUAUGGAAAAGGAAAGUUCAUUAUAUUAAAAAAUCUGUUUUAAUCAAUUCAGCGAAUCAUGGAGGUUUAAAUUUUAUAGACUUCUCAACUCUCAAUAAUACUCUGAAAAUUAUCUGGAUCAGAAAUGUUUUACUUAAUCCUUCUGUAUGGAACAUCAUCCCCUCUUUCAUUUUCUCUAAACUAGGUGGUCUAAAAUUUCUUUUGACUUGUAAUUAUAAUAUUCCUAAAAUCCCCAUGAAGCUCUCAAACUUUCACAAGCAGAUGUUGUUGGCAUGGUCCCUCAUUUUUAAGCACAAUUUCUCACCACAUACUUGUUUUAUUUGGAACAAUAAGUAUAUCACUCACAAAAAAAAGUCUGUUUAUUGAAAACUGGUUUGAUAAUAAUGUUAUUCUCGUUAACCAGUUAGUAAAACCUAAUGGUCAAUGUUACACUUUCUCUGAAUUUAGAGAAAAGUAUCCUGUAGUGGUUUUUCCUAGGGACUUCAAGAUUGUGAUGAAUGCAAUACCGUCUGGUAUCAAAAUGCUGCUAACAGGAUCCUCUUUUUUGGAUGGUUUGGUGACUUAUACUGACCUCGCUCAAACAUACGUUGGUAAAAUUUGCUUUUCUCCAAAUAAAUCAUGCAAUAAAUCUACCAGAGGUCUUUUCCAUCAGCUUUCCAUCUCCUCUCCCUAUAUUAUUUCAUUUAGGAACUCUACUGUAAAUAAUAUUCCAUGGACUAAAACCUGGGUUUUACCCCACAGAUAUAUUUUAACUAAUAAAAUUAGAGAGGUUUCUUUUAAAAUAUUACAUAACUGUUACCCUGUUAAACAUUUUAUUUCCCAAAAAUUUAAAAAGUACAUUGA